UGACAUCCUUCACUGAGCAGUUUGCGAAAGGAUGUAUUAGUAAGUUCUGUAAAAGUCAAAGGUGCAGACCUUUCUAAUCAACAGCUGUAUCAACAGGGAUUGUACCUCCUCACCUCCCUGGGAAAAAAUAGAACUAGAGGAUUCCAGCCUUCAAGAAAAUCCACAAGUGGAAAUCUUCAAUUCAUACCACAUAAAGCAAAAAGCAAUAACGGAAUUCGAGGAAAGUUCGAAAUCAAACUUUAUUUGCUUAAAAAAGACUAAGAACUUUGGGAAUGAAGCGGUGCGACGGCUCUCCAUUCCAGCGCUGACUCCUCUCUGCUUGCAG
Molecule: long non-coding RNA, 325 nt
Organism: Bufo bufo (common toad)
Lineage: Eukaryota; Metazoa; Chordata; Amphibia; Anura; Bufonidae
Exons: 3
Source: RefSeq, a predicted model, not a curated record